This is a long non-coding RNA of Canis lupus familiaris (dog), 324 nucleotides long. RefSeq lists it as uncharacterized. The transcript has 3 exons. The record is from RefSeq and is a predicted model, not a curated record. Lineage: Eukaryota; Metazoa; Chordata; Mammalia; Carnivora; Canidae.
UUGAAUUUUGCUGACCUUGCACCAGAAGGAUCUCACCAUAACGGGCUUCGGGUGUGGUGUGUGGCUCUGCCAAGUCAAAGGACUUUGAGGAAGACCCAUAGACUUUAUGGGCUACUGGAGACUUAGAAACUUCCAGAGCACAGCAGGCUGUUUGCAUUUCCUUCAGCAGAAUGUAUGGUUCCCAUCUCAUCCAGCAUAACUAAGGCGCUGGAGAGACCAAGUAAAAUGAAACACCAUAGCUGCCCUCCAGGAAUCCAGGGUGGAGGCAGAGAGUCAACAAGCCACAGUGGUGGACUGAAGACCAGAGGACCAUGGGCACUCCCU